Molecule: long non-coding RNA, 784 nt
Filed under: Phoenix dactylifera (date palm)
Lineage: Eukaryota; Viridiplantae; Streptophyta; Magnoliopsida; Arecales; Arecaceae
Description: long non-coding RNA (PDAC_LNC018282)
Source: RNAcentral
UAAGUACAACUAGUACUUCUCAGGAUACUCUGGCAUGUGCUUUCUCCAAGUCAUUAAAGAAAAUGUGUAGGAUCAUAAUCUUCUUUCUAUCUUUCAUCCAGCUGCCUAAGAAAGCAUAGCUUCCACUAAAGAACUACGUGACAAAUCAAAUGUGCACAUAAUGGAAAAGGUUAUAUAUGUGAUUGACUUUAUAAAAUUAGUAAAGCUAUUCACCCAGCAGAAGUGAAGUGAAAGUACACGAUCAUUUCUAGCGCACAAUUUGAGAUCCACUUCUUAGUCCAUAUGAUAGAUUAUGGUAAGUAGCAAUUUAUGAAGUCUGCUGAACUAUGAUGAGGCUAAGCAUAUAAAUCUCAAGAGUCUUAUCUAUAUGAUGCAUGCGUUCCAUGUAUAAAUCAAUCAACACUUAUUCUUGGUAAGAAGAUUAUUAAUUAUUAAUUAUAAUAAGAUGACCCAAUUAUAUCAAUGAAAAAGGCAAGUUCCUACAUAAUCAUGCAUUCAAAAGAAUAAAACAAUUUUGUGUAACAUUAGACUAACAGAAUCCAAGAUAUUUGCUAUCACAUCAUAUCUUUAUGGCUAAUCAUUGACCAAAGCAUUAGAACAUCAUUGUUACCUGAAGAAAAUUGCAAUCCACAACUUACAAUUUGUGGAGUGAUUGGUUAUACCCCUAUUUGAUUUUGAUGAGCUCAAAACAUUUGUGUAUAUUUCAUGUUGUACUAAUGAAUUCAAUCUAGUGUUUCAGGCAAAUAUAUGUGAAUUUAUCUUUAAGAGUAUCGAGCUUUUGUUC